RNAcentral lists this ribosomal RNA (294 nucleotides) under uncultured bacterium. RNAcentral's name for it is "partial 16S ribosomal RNA". It matches the Rfam family "Bacterial small subunit ribosomal RNA", at positions 775 to 1067 of the family's 1533-position model. The record is from RNAcentral.
GGAUUAGAUACCCUGGUAGUCCACGCCGUAAACGAUGGAUACUUGUUGUUGGAGGUAUUGACCCCUUCAGUGACGCAGCUAACGCGGUAAGUAUCCCGCCUGGGGAGUACGGUCGCAAGAUUAAAACUCAAAGAAAUUGACGGGGGCCCGCACAAGCGGUGGAGUAUGUGGUUUAAUUCGAUGCAACGCGCAAAACCUUACCUGGGCUUGACAUGAACUGGAAGAGUGGCAGAGAUGUCCUCGCUCGCAAGAGUCGGUUCACAGGUGCUGCAUGGCUGUCGUCAGCUCGUGCCG